GAUGAACGCUGGCGGCGUGCCUAAUACAUGCCAGUCGAGCGAACAGACGAGGAGCUUGCUCCUCUGACGUUAGCGGCGGACGGGUGAGUAACACGUGGAUAACCUACCUAUAAGACUGGGAUAACUUCGGGAAACCGGAGCUAAUACCGGAUAAUAUAUUGAACCGCAUGGUUCAAUAGUGAAAGACGGUUUUGCUGUCACUUAUAGAUGGAUCCGCGCCGCAUUAGCUAGUUGGUAAGGUAACGGCUUACCAAGGCAACGAUGCGUAGCCGACCUGAGAGGGUGAUCGGCCACACUGGAACUGAGACACGGUCCAGACUCCUACGGGAGGCAGCAGUAGCGAAUCUUCCGCAAUGGGCGAAGGCCUGACGGAGCAACGCCGCGUGAGUGAUGAAGGUCUUCGGAUCGUAAAACUCUGUUAUUAGGGAAGAACAAAUGUGUAAGUAACUAUGCACGUCUUGACGGUACCUAAUCAGAAAGCCACGGCUAACUACGUG
Molecule: ribosomal RNA, 497 nt
Filed under: uncultured bacterium
Lineage: Bacteria
Description: partial 16S ribosomal RNA
Rfam family: Bacterial small subunit ribosomal RNA
Source: RNAcentral